Molecule: long non-coding RNA, 347 nt
Filed under: Portunus trituberculatus (swimming crab)
Lineage: Eukaryota; Metazoa; Arthropoda; Malacostraca; Decapoda; Portunidae
Description: uncharacterized LOC123518409, transcript variant X3
Source: RNAcentral
UGAAGCGGAAUGCAGUGAGGCACGAAGGAACGAUUUCACCUAUUGGCGUUGUGCGGGCAAGACGUGUGUACGCCAAGAAAAGUGUCUGCCCACUGCCUCGUUACGAUGGGAGUUUGAUCGACUUUGUUUUGUGUGUUGGUCUGGUGUCAUCCUUCUCGUGGCGAUGAUGUUGUUUUAGGUCGGGAAGCAGUGUACAGUACAACAAGGGAGAAGGUCGGGUCAUGCCGGUCACUCCUAAAACAUCAGGCAAACCGGUCUCAGGCGUCAGUCAGGAGAUGAAGCACGUUCGCCACGUUCCGCCAGAAGUAUGGCACCGGCGUCCCUACAUCUGCGCACUACCAACUUGA